UAAAACUGUGGUAAUUCAACAACAAAAACACGCUGCGAAACCCCAACAAACGGAGGGGUGCGCUUUGUUACUUCAAAUCAAUCGGACUUCGGUCUGAUAUCAAAUGAAAUUGAACAAUUUAGCUGAUCGCACGGUCUUGAACCGGCGACAUAUCCUUCAAACGUCUGCCUUAUCAACUGUCGAUGGUAGAUUAUGCGCCUACCAUGGUUGUAACGGGUAACGGAGAAUCAGGGUUUGAUUCCGGAGAGGGAGCCUGAGAAACGGCUACCACAUCCAAGGAAGGCAGCAGGCACGCAAAUUACCCACUCCCGGCACGGGGAGGUAGUGACGAAAAUUAACAAGCUGGUCUCUAUGAGUUCCGGCAUUGUAAUGGGAACAAUUUAAAUCAUUUAUCGAGGAUCUAUUGGAGGGCAAGUCUGGUGCCAGCAGCCGCGGUAAUUCCAGCUCCAAUAGCGUAUAUUAAAGUUGUUGCGGUUAAAAAGCUCGUAGUUGGAUCUACGACCAAGUCUUGUGGUCGCUCUGCCUGAGUGAACUGCAUUGACUGGUCCAUUUAUCUAGUAUUCGAUUGAUGCUCUUCACUGAGUGUCUCUAGUUGCUGGAACUUUUACCUUGAAAAAAUUGAAGUGCUCAAAGCAGGCUAAAGCCUGAACAUUGCUGCAUGGGAUAAUAGAAUAGGACUUCGGUUAUAUUUUGUUGGUUUCGGAACACGAAGUAAUGAUUAAUAGGGACAGACGGGGGCAUUCGUAUUGCUGCGUUAGAGGUGAAAUUCUUGGAUCGUAGCAAGACGAACUACUGCGAAAGCAUUUGCCAAGAAUGUUUUCAUUAAUCAAGAACGAAAGUUAGAG
This 845-nucleotide ribosomal RNA is filed under the name Eurystomina sp. M2. RNAcentral's name for it is "SSU rRNA". It matches the Rfam family "Eukaryotic small subunit ribosomal RNA", at positions 142 to 995 of the family's 1831-position model. The record is from RNAcentral. Lineage: Eukaryota; Metazoa; Nematoda; Enoplea; Enoplida; Enchelidiidae.